ACGAAACCCAGGGGAGCGAGCCGGAUUAGAUACCCGGCUAGUCCUGGGCGUAAAUCAUGCGGAUAAAGUGUGGCAUUAUCUACGAGAUAAUGCUGUGCCGUAGGGAAGCCGUUAAGUCCGCCGUUGGGGAGUACGGUCGCAAGGCUGAAACUUAAAGGAAUUGCCGGGGGAGCACCACAAGGGGUGGAGGCUGCGGUUUAAUUGGAUUCAACGCCGGACAACUCACCGGGGGCGACAGCAGUAUGAGGGUCAAGCUGACGACUUUGCCUGACAAGCUGAGAGGAGGUGCAUGGCCGCCGUCAGUUCGUACCGUGAGGUGUCCUGUUAAGUCAGGUAACGAACGAGACCCCUGCCCGCAGUUACCAGCAGAUGCUCAGGCAUGAUGGGGACUCUGCGGGGACCGCUUUUGCUAAAAAAGAGGAAGGAGGGGGCAACGGUAGGUCAGUAUGCCCCGAAUCUCCCGGGUACACGCGGCUACAAUGGGUGCGACAAUGAGUUCCGACCCCGAGAGGGGAAGGUAAUCCCC
This 526-nucleotide ribosomal RNA is filed under the name uncultured archaeon. Its description in RNAcentral is "bacterial SSU rRNA". It matches the Rfam family "Archaeal small subunit ribosomal RNA", at positions 704 to 1232 of the family's 1478-position model. The record is from RNAcentral.